AUACGGAGGGCGCAAGCGUUGCCCGGAAUCACUGGGUGUAAAGGGUGCGUAGGCGGGGCUGUAAGUCAGAGGUGAAAGCCCUCGGCUCAACCGGGGAAUUGCCUCUGAUACUGCAGCUCUUGAGUCCCGGAGAGGCCGCCGGAAUUCCUGGUGUAGCGGUGAAAUGCGUAGAUAUCAGGAGGAACACCGGAGGCGAAGGCGGGCGGCUGGACGGGGACUGACGCUGAGGCACGAAAGCGUGGGGAGCAAACAGGAUUAGAAACCCUAGUAGUCC
Molecule: ribosomal RNA, 274 nt
Filed under: uncultured bacterium
Lineage: Bacteria
Description: partial 16S ribosomal RNA
Rfam family: Bacterial small subunit ribosomal RNA
Source: RNAcentral